RNAcentral lists this ribosomal RNA (450 nucleotides) under uncultured bacterium. Its description in RNAcentral is "partial 16S ribosomal RNA". It matches the Rfam family "Bacterial small subunit ribosomal RNA", at positions 354 to 796 of the family's 1533-position model. The record is from RNAcentral.
GUGGGGAAUCUUCCGCAAUGGACGAAAGUCUGACGGAGCAACACCGCGUGAGUGAAGAAGGUUUUCGGAUCGUAAAGCUCUUUCGUUAGGGACGAACGUGCUCUUUGUGAAUAAUGAGGAGUAAUGACGGUACCUAAAUAAGAAGCCACGGCUAACUACGUGCCAGCAGCCGCGGUAAUACGUAGGUGGCAAGCGUUGUCCGGAAUUAUUGGGCGUAAAGCGCGCGCAGGCGGGAUAUCAAGUCUGUCUUAAAAGUGCGAGGCUCAACCUCGUGAGGGGACAGAAACUGGUAUUCUUGAGUGUCGGAGAGGAAAGUGGAAUUCCAAGUGUAGCGGUGAAAUGCGUAGAGAUUUGGAAGAACACCAGUGGCGAAGGCGACUUUCUGGACGAUGUCUGACGCUGAGGCGCGAAAGCUAGGGGAGCGAACGGGAUUAGAUACCCGGGUAGUCC